This 503-nucleotide ribosomal RNA is filed under the name Cutibacterium acnes. Its description in RNAcentral is "bacterial SSU rRNA". It matches the Rfam family "Bacterial small subunit ribosomal RNA", at positions 32 to 546 of the family's 1533-position model. The record is from RNAcentral. Lineage: Bacteria; Bacillati; Actinomycetota; Actinomycetes; Propionibacteriales; Propionibacteriaceae.
AACGCUGGCGGCGUGCUUAACACAUGCAAGUCGAACGGAAAGGCCCUGCUUUUGUGGGGUGCUCGAGUGGCGAACGGGUGAGUAACACGUGAGUAACCUGCCCUUGACUUUGGGAUAACUUCAGGAAACUGGGGCUAAUACCGGAUAGGAGCUCCUGCUGCAUGGUGGGGGUUGGAAAGUUUCGGCGGUUGGGGAUGGACUCGCGGCUUAUCAGCUUGUUGGUGGGGUAGUGGCUUACCAAGGCUUUGACGGGUAGCCGGCCUGAGAGGGUGACCGGCCACAUUGGGACUGAGAUACGGCCCAGACUCCUACGGGAGGCAGCAGUGGGGAAUAUUGCACAAUGGGCGGAAGCCUGAUGCAGCAACGCCGCGUGCGGGAUGACGGCCUUCGGGUUGUAAACCGCUUUCGCCUGUGACGAAGCGUGAGUGACGGUAAUGGGUAAAGAAGCACCGGCUAACUACGUGCCAGCAGCCGCGGUGAUACGUAGGGUGCGAGCGUUGUCC